This 26-nucleotide non-coding RNA is filed under the name Homo sapiens (human). The record is from RNAcentral. Lineage: Eukaryota; Metazoa; Chordata; Mammalia; Primates; Hominidae.
UUGCUGUGAAUUGCAUGCUGUUGGGA